This is an RNA transcript of Glycine soja, 1861 nucleotides long. RefSeq lists it as uncharacterized. The transcript has 9 exons. NCBI's taxonomy places the organism in Eukaryota, Viridiplantae, Streptophyta, Magnoliopsida, Fabales, Fabaceae. The record is from RefSeq and is a predicted model, not a curated record.
UUGUUUAAAGAGAUCGGCCCUGAUCCCAAAUUCUAAAUCUUGCUGGGUGCGUGGCGGUGGAUUUCCAAAUUCCUAACACCACUCACAAUCACUACAUCUUAAGUUAAGAGAAGAGGAAAGAAAAAGACAUUUGAAGUGUGUAGUAUAGUAUAGGGGUUUUAAACAAUAGAACCAAAACCCUAAUUUCACAACUUUCCCUAUGACGAAAGUUUACGGCACGGGGUUAUACGAUUUUUGGCGGCACCAGCAGAGUUGAAACCAACCUUUAUUUAAGUCUCACACCUUACUUGCUACCUUCUUUCUUUUUCACCGUCGCACCCAUUAUUCAUUGCAUCAUCGUUCACUCGCAUCAGAAUCACAGGUUCAGUUGCUGUGGAUUGUUGUAAAAAAUUUCCUUUAGGUUGAAACUUGGAGUGCCGGCUCAGGAUAUUAUGAUGAAUGGAAAUGGUACUCAGACUAAGUAUUGGGGCGAAAGUUCGGGUUCAACUUCCCAUAGCAGUCAGCAGGAUGUGGAGGAUGAUAGGAUGAUUGCUCUUGUGUUGUCAGAAGAGUAUGCCAAAUUAGAUGGAGCAGUUGGUUGGCGCCUUACCAACUUGGAACCUGUUCCUGUAUGACGAAUUUAAAGCAACCCAUGUUAGCCUUGGGCGACACACGUCCUAUGCUGGGAUCGGAUAAAUUAAAACUAGUGAUUUGUAUAUUGUGUUAAGGAGAGGUUCUCUGUGCUUCGAAGUGAGUGGAAAAAGUUCCAGUGAGGGGUGGAACUCCAAAUUUGAUUACAUCAGCAUGGGAAAUCAUGGUGAAACUCAGAACACAACACAAAAGGAUAUGAGUUCUAUAUAUCAGGAACAAAGACUUCAACCAUGUCAACUUAGCUCAUCAAUACAUUAUGGUGGCCAAGACAUAUAUUCUUGUCCUAAGAGUACACAAGAUUCAGGAUACAACUCUUUGUUGUACAAGAAAGAUGGGGUUGAAGAUGAUUUAGGAAGUAACCUGUGGCAAGGGGGUCCCUGUUAUUAAGAUCACACUUGCCAAAGGAUAUGCUCCUUAAGGUAUACAAGUUUCUUAUAGCCUUAGCCAAAUGGUACUCUAGAUAUCUGAUUAAUAUUCCUUCCCUUCAACUUUUACGUGCUAAUCUGUCCAAGAAAUUGUCUGUUCUUUCUCCGGAGGAGUUAAGAGAUUUUGUUUGCUGUAAGAUAAUCAAGUUCCUCCUCAAGAUCCUGGCCCCUAUCCUCAAGCACUAAUUAUUGAGACAUAUACUCCUCCAGAUCCUGGCCCCUAUCCUCAAGAUCAGCCUAAACAAAAUUCAGUUCGAUUUACACCCACCCAGGUUGAAGCAAUUAUCUCUGGCAUUCAGCCUGGUCUAAUUAUGGUUGUGGGGCCACCUGGUACAGGAAAGAUUGAUCAACAAAAUGUAAUUAGGAACUAGUUUUAUUAUUAUUAUAUGACAUUUACCUACAGAAGACCGUAGGUACAAGUAAAUUGACUUUUACCUACAGUUAGAGAUUAUAGGUAUAAAUUAAUAUCUUUUACCUACACAUUUGAAAUAGUGGGUGUUAUCUAUAGUGAUAGUUAAAUUUGACUGUAGGUAAAAAUAUAUCCGUAGGUAAAGCCUAUAGUGACAGACUAUUAGUUGUCACUGUAUACCCCCUCAAAGUUGACGCAAAAAACGUCUGUAGGACAAAGUCCUUUAUACAUCUACCUACGGAUUUUGGACUUCUAGUGAUAGAUUUUGACUGUAGGUAAAAGUUAUUUUCCUUGUAGUGAAGGAAAAUAGAAAUGACCGGAAUUAUAUAGAAAUAUUAAAUUUUCAUCGAUUGAAUGGGAGGAAAAAUAGUAAGGAGAAGUGUUAUUUUUUGUGAAA